This 497-nucleotide ribosomal RNA is filed under the name uncultured bacterium. RNAcentral describes it as "partial 16S ribosomal RNA". It matches the Rfam family "Bacterial small subunit ribosomal RNA", at positions 28 to 507 of the family's 1533-position model. The record is from RNAcentral.
GAUGAACGCUGGCGGCGUGCCUAAUACAUGCAAGUCGAGCGAACAGACGAGGAGCUUGCUCCUCUGACGUUAGCGGCGGACGGGGGAGUAACACGUGGAUAACCUACCUAUAAGACUGGGAUAACUUCGGGAAACCGGAGCUAAUACCGGAUAACAUGUUGAACCGCAUGGUUCAACAGUGAAAGACGGUCUUGCUGUCACUUAUAGAUGGAUCCGCGCCGCAUUAGCUAGUUGGUAAGGUAACGGCUUACCAAGGCAACGAUGCGUAGCCGACCUGAGAGGGUGAUCGGCAACACUGGAACUGAGACACGGUCCAGACUCCUACGGGAGGCAGCAGUAGGGAAUCUUCGGCAAGGGGCGGAAGCCUGACGGAGCAACGCCGCGUGAGUGAAGAAGGUCUUCGGAUCGUAAAACUCUGUUAGUAGGGAAGAACAAAUGCGAAAGCAACUGUGCACGUCUUGACGGUACCUAAUCAGAAAGCCACGGCUAACUACGUG